GAUGAACGCUGGCUACAGGCUUAACACAUGCAAGUCGAGGGGAAACGACGGGGAAGCUUGCUUCCCCGGGCGUCGACCGGCGCACGGGUGAGUAACGCGUAUCCAACCUGCCUCUGACUGAGGGAUAACCCGUCGAAAGUCGGCCUAAUACCUCAUGGCAUCGUCUGCGGGCAUCCAACGACGAUUAAAGAUUUCAUCGGUCAGGGAUGGGGAUGCGUCUGAUUAGCUUGUUGGCGGGGUAACGGCCCACCAAGGCUACGAUCAGUAGGGGUUCUGAGAGGAAGGUCCCCCACAUUGGAACUGAGACACGGUCCAAACUCCUACGGGAGGCAGCAGUGAGGAAUAUUGGUCAAUGGGCGAGAGCCUGAACCAGCCAAGUAGCGUGCAGGAUGACGGCCCUAUGGGUUGUAAACUGCCUUUAUGCGGGGAUAAAGUGAGGGACGUGUCCUUCAUUGCAGGUACCGCAUGAAUAAGGACCGGCUAAUUCCGUGCCAGCAGCCGCGGUAAUACGGAAGGUCCGGGCGUUAUCCGGAUUUAUUGGGUUUAAAGGGAGCGUAGGCCGUGGAUUAAGCGUGUUGUGAAAUGCAGGUGCUCAACGUCUGCACUGCAGCGCGAACUGGUUCACUUGAGUGUGCGCAACGCAGGCGGAAUUCGUCGUGUAGCGGUGAAAUGCUUAGAUAUGACGAAGAACUCCGAUUGCGAAGGCAGCUUGCGGGAGCACAACUGACGCUGAAGCUCGAAAGUGCGGGUAUCGAACAGG
RNAcentral lists this ribosomal RNA (760 nucleotides) under uncultured Prevotella sp. RNAcentral describes it as "bacterial SSU rRNA". It matches the Rfam family "Bacterial small subunit ribosomal RNA", at positions 28 to 776 of the family's 1533-position model. The record is from RNAcentral. Lineage: Bacteria; Pseudomonadati; Bacteroidota; Bacteroidia; Bacteroidales; Prevotellaceae.